AAAGCAGAGAUAUGUGUGUAUCGGAAUUGUACUUUAAAUGCACUUUAAUCCGAAAGAAUUCUCUGCAAAACUGAUUUUUGGUGAAAAUGGGCAGUUGAGUUUCAUGCAAUCUAUUGAUUAUCAACAAUCAUUUUCUCCACAUCU
Molecule: small nucleolar RNA, 144 nt
Organism: Papaver somniferum (opium poppy)
Lineage: Eukaryota; Viridiplantae; Streptophyta; Magnoliopsida; Ranunculales; Papaveraceae
Product: small nucleolar RNA snoR135
Exons: 1
Source: RefSeq, a predicted model, not a curated record